GACGAACGCUGGCGGCGUGCUUAACACAUGCAAGUCGAACGGGAACCUUUAUUUCGGUAGAGGUGAGAGUGGCAAACGGGUGAGUAACACGUAGGCAACCUGCCGACAGGAUGGGGACAACAUUCCGAAAGGAAUGCUGAUACCGAAUGAAGUCACCGGAGGGCAUCCUCUGGUGAUGAAAGAUGGCCUCUGAAUAUGCUAUCGCCUGUCGAUGGGCCUGCGUCUGAUUAGCCAGUUGGCGGGGUAACGGCCCACCAAAGCGACGAUCAGUAGCCGGUCUGAGAGGAUGAACGGCCACAUUGGGACUGAGACACGGCCCAGACUCCUACGGGAGGCAGCAGUGGGGAAUCUUCCACAAUGGGCGAAAGCCUGAUGGAGCAACGCCGCGUGAGUGAAGAAGGUCUUCGGAUCGUAAAGCUCUGUUGCACGGGACGAAAACCGAGCUUGAAAACAUUGAGCUUGGGUGACG
This 469-nucleotide ribosomal RNA is filed under the name Selenomonas sputigena. Its description in RNAcentral is "bacterial SSU rRNA". It matches the Rfam family "Bacterial small subunit ribosomal RNA", at positions 28 to 474 of the family's 1533-position model. The record is from RNAcentral. Lineage: Bacteria; Bacillati; Bacillota; Negativicutes; Selenomonadales; Selenomonadaceae.